UAAUACGUAGGGUGCAGGCGUUAAUCGGAAUUACUGGGCGUAAAGCGUGCGCAGGCGGCUUCCUAAGUCAGAUGUGAAAUCCCCGGGCUCAACCUGGGAACUGCGUUUGAAACUGGGAGGCUAGAGUGCGGCAGAGGGGGGUGGAAUUCCACGUGUAGCAGUGAAAUGCGUAGAUAUGUGGAGGAACACCGAUGGCGAAGGCAGCCCCCUGGGCCAGCACUGACGCUCAUGCACGAAAGCGUGGGGAGCAAACAGGAUUAGAUACCCUGGUAGUCCACGCCCUAAACGAUGUCGACUAGUUGUUGGGGGAGUCUGUCCCUCAGUAACGUAGCUAACGCGUGAAGUCGACCGCCUGGGGAGUACGGUCGCAAGAUUA
RNAcentral lists this ribosomal RNA (376 nucleotides) under uncultured bacterium. RNAcentral's name for it is "bacterial SSU rRNA". It matches the Rfam family "Bacterial small subunit ribosomal RNA", at positions 521 to 896 of the family's 1533-position model. The record is from RNAcentral.